This 849-nucleotide ribosomal RNA is filed under the name Triticum aestivum (bread wheat). RNAcentral's name for it is "partial small subunit ribosomal RNA". The record is from RNAcentral. Lineage: Eukaryota; Viridiplantae; Streptophyta; Magnoliopsida; Poales; Poaceae.
AACCCAUCAAAUGCAUGUUGCAGGAGCUGCAACACUCCACGUCGUCAGCGAAGAUCCGAAUCCCGCCGAGCAAAUCAGCGCACGCCUGUAUUAUUCAUCCCCAUCCACCUCUGCUACUCUAUAAAGAACCUCUCGGCCGCGGCCUCUCGGAGCCCCGAAGGCCACUCUGACUCGCGCUCUUCCCUCUCUGUCCCUCUGGCUCCCAACCAAGAAAGAGCGACGACGGCGACACGUCUAGGUAGUCGGAACGGAACCGGUUGCGUGCUGUACGGAGCAUGGGGCUCCUCGACCAGCUCUGGGACGAGACGGUCGCCGGCCCCAGGCCGGACCACGGCCUCGGCAGGCUCCGCAAGUACUCCUCCUUCUCGCCCUCGACCGCGGCGGCCACGGACGUCGCGCCGGCGGUGACCCGCAGCAUCACCAUCGCCCGGCCGCCAUCUCUCUCGGUGCCAUCUGGCGAAUCAAGCUCCUUGCCGCCGUCCCCGGCCAGCGCGCCGGACUCCCCGUUCGCAGCAGCUACCAGUAGGAGGGACGGCUGGAGGGCGUUCAGGCGGAAAUCCAAGAUGGCCAACGUCGACGUCGUCCGGCCUGAGACGGCCGUCGGGCCCAGAAGCCCCACCGUGUACGACUGGGUGGUGAUCAGUUCAUUGGACCGAUGAAGCAGCACGCCCAAGGUACGAAAUAAUGGACCAAUGCCGAUGAAGCAGAUGAGCUUAGCUGUUGUGCGCCCCUCUGGGCUGCGAAAGUAUGUGAUGUAGUUAGCAGUAGCUCCGGUUGAGGCAAUCGAGAUGUGUUGCCAUCAUGGGGCACCUUUUGGUGUGUGUGGAGGAGAUGAGCGCUGAAAUGAGG